UUAACACAUGCAAGUCGAGGGGCAGCACAGGUAGCAAUACCGGGUGGCGACCGGCGCACGGGUGAGUAACGCGUAUGCAACUUGCCUAUCAGAGGGGGAUAACCCGGCGAAAGUCGGACUAAUACCGCAUGAAGCAGGGGCCCCGCAUGGGGAUAUUUGCUAAAGAUUCAUCGCUGAUAGAUAGGCAUGCGUUCCAUUAGGCAGUUGGCGGGGUAACGGCCCACCAAACCGACGAUGGAUAGGGGUUCUGAGAGGAAGGUCCCCCACAUUGGUACUGAGACACGGACCAAACUCCUACGGGAGGCAGCAGUGAGGAAUAUUGGUCAAUGGGCGUAAGCCUGAACCAGCCAAGUCGCGUGAGGGAUGAAGGUUCUAUGGAUCGUAAACCUCUUUUAUAAGGGAAUAAAGUGCGGGACGUGUCCCGUUUUGUAUGUACCUUAUGAAUAAGGAUCGGCUAACUCCGUGCCAGCAGCCGCGGUAAUACGGAGGAUCCGAGCGUUAUCCGGAUUUAUUGGGUUUAAAGGGUGCGUAGGCGGCCUUUUAAGUCAGCGGUGAAAGUCUGUGGCUCAACCAUAGAAUUGCCGUUGAAACUGGGGGGCUUGAGUAUGUUUGAGGCAGGCGGAAUGCGUGGUGUAGCGGUGAAAUGCAUAGAUAUCACGCAGAACCCCGAUUGCGAAGGCAGCCUGCCAAGCCAUUACUGACGCUGAUGCACGAAAGCGUGGGGAUCAAACAGGAUUAGAUACCCUGGUAGUCCACGCAGUAAACGAUGAUCACUAGCUGUUUGCGAUACACUGUAAGCGGCACAGCGAAAGCGUUAAGUGAUCCACCUGGGGAGUACGCCGGCAACGGUGAAACUCAAAGGAAUUGACGGGGGCCCGCACAAGCGGAGGAACAUGUGGUUUAAUUCGAUGAUACGCGAGGAACCUUACCCGGGUUUGAACGCAUUCGGACCGAGGUGGAAACACCUUUUCUAGCAAUAGCCGUUUGCGAGGUGCUGCAUGGUUGUCGUCAGCUCGUGCCGUGAGGUGUCGGCUUAAGUGCCAUAACGAGCGCAACCCUUGCCACUAGUUACUAACAGGUAAAGCUGAGGACUCUGGUGGGACUGCCAGCGUAAGCUGCGAGGAAGGCGGGGAUGACGUCAAAUCAGCACGGCCCUUACAUCCGGGGCGACACACGUGUUACAAUGGCGUGGACAAAGGGAAGCCACCUGGCGACAGGGAGCGAAUCCCCAAACCACGUCUCAGUUCGGAUCGGAGUCUGCAACCCGACUCCGUGAAGCUGGAUUCGCUAGUAAUCGCGCAUCAGCCAUGGCGCGGUGAAUACGUUCCCGGGCCUUGUACACACCGCCCGUCAAGCCAUGGGAGCCGGGGGUACCUGAAGUCCGUAACCGAAAGGAUCGGCCUAGGGUAAAACUGGUGACUGGC
RNAcentral lists this ribosomal RNA (1424 nucleotides) under uncultured organism. Its description in RNAcentral is "SSU rRNA". It matches the Rfam family "Bacterial small subunit ribosomal RNA". The record is from RNAcentral.